UACGGGGGGGGCAAGCGUUGUUCGGAAUUACUGGGCGUAAAGGGCUCGUAGGCGGCCAACUAAGUCAGACGUGAAAUCCCUCAGCUUAACUGGGGAACUGCGUCUGAUACUGGAUGGCUUGAGUUUGGGAGAGGGAUGCGGAAUUCCAGGUGUAGCGGUGAAAUGCGUAGAUAUCUGGAGGAAUACCGGUGGCGAAGGCGGGUCUCUGGGCCGAAACUGACGCUGAGAAGCGAAAGCGUGGGGAGCGAACAGG
This 253-nucleotide ribosomal RNA is filed under the name uncultured bacterium. RNAcentral describes it as "partial 16S ribosomal RNA". It matches the Rfam family "Bacterial small subunit ribosomal RNA", at positions 524 to 776 of the family's 1533-position model. The record is from RNAcentral.